GACGUAGGGGGCCAGCGUUGUUCGGACUUACUGGGUGUAAAGGGUUCGUAGGCGGUGUGGCAAGUUGGGAGUGAACUCUCUGGGCUCAACCCAGAGGCUGCUUCCAAAACUGCUGUGCUUGAGUGUGGGAGAGGCGCGUGGAAUUGCAGGUGUAGCGGUGAAAUGCGUAGAUAUCUGCAGGAACAGCCGUGGCGAAGGCGGUCUCCGGGGGCAUUCUUGACGCUGAGACGCGAAAGCUGGGGGAGAGAACGGG
This 253-nucleotide ribosomal RNA is filed under the name uncultured bacterium. RNAcentral's name for it is "partial 16S ribosomal RNA". It matches the Rfam family "Bacterial small subunit ribosomal RNA", at positions 524 to 776 of the family's 1533-position model. The record is from RNAcentral.